GAAAUUUGGAAAACAAAAACCAAGACAUUUGCUUGCCUAUAUAAAACAGAAAAUCAAGAAUGAUAUCAAUAUUUCUACACAAGUUAUUUUUACAUUCCAAUUAUACAUAUAUAUAUCGUGAUCGUUAUGCGAUAAAGGUGAACAAGGGAUUGAAUUGUACAUAUUUGAAUUCAGGCCAUUUUUUAAUUACAGAUUAUCUAUCCAAUUGCUAUGUAUACAAAAUAAAUUUCAUCCUCAAAUAAAAAUGUUAAUCUUUUUUUAAAAAAUUCAUUUUUUUAAUUUAUUUUUCUAAUUAAAAUUAGGGCUGAUUAUGUCAAUACAAAUGGGUUAGUCUUAGAUCACAAAAAGUU
Molecule: unclassified non-coding RNA, 350 nt
Filed under: Hevea brasiliensis (rubber tree)
Lineage: Eukaryota; Viridiplantae; Streptophyta; Magnoliopsida; Malpighiales; Euphorbiaceae
Source: RNAcentral